UGAAACCAAGCUGGCGACCGGCGCACGGGUGAGUAACACGUAUCCACCUGCCUCUACUCGGGGAUAGCCUUUCGAAAGAAAGAUUAAUAUCCGAUAGCCCCGCAUGGGUAAAGAAUUUCGGUUGUCGAUGGGGAUGCGUUCCAUUAGGCAGUUGGCGGGGUAACGGCCCACCAAACCUACGAUGGAUAGGGGUUCUGAGAGGAAGGUCCCCCACAUUGGAACUGAGACACGGUCCAAACUCUACGGGAGGCAGCAGUGAGGAAUAUUGGUCAAUGGACGAGAGUCUGAACCAGCCAAGUAGCGUGAAGGAUGACUGCCUAUGGGUUGUAAACUUCUUUUAUACGGGAAUAAGUUAGCCACGUGUGGUUUUUUGUAUGUACCGUAUGAAUAAGGAUCGGCUAACUCCGUGCCAGCAGCCGCAGUAAUACGGAGGAUCCGAGCGUUAUCCGGAUUUAUUGGGUUUAAAGGGAGCGUAGGCGGGUUGUUAAGUCAGUUGUGAAAGUUUGCGGCUCAACCGUAAAAUUGCAGUUGAUACUGGC
RNAcentral lists this ribosomal RNA (539 nucleotides) under uncultured bacterium. Its description in RNAcentral is "bacterial SSU rRNA". It matches the Rfam family "Bacterial small subunit ribosomal RNA", at positions 77 to 637 of the family's 1533-position model. The record is from RNAcentral.